AAAUUGAAGAGUUUGAUCAUGGCUCAGAUUGAACGCUGGCGGCAGGCCUAACACAUGCAAGUCGAACGGUAACAGGAAGCAGCUUGCUGCUUUGCUGACGAGUGGCGGACGGGUGAGUAAUGUCUGGGAAACUGCCCGAUGGAGGGGGAUAACUACUGGAAACGGUAGCUAAUACCGCAUAACGUCGCAAGACCAAAGAGGGGGACCUUAGGGCCUCUUGCCAUCGGAUGUGCCCAGAUGGGAUUAGCUAGUAGGUGGGGUAAUGGCUCACCUAGGCGACGAUCCCUAGCUGGUCUGAGAGGAUGACCAGCCACACUGGAACUGAGACACGGUCCAGACUCCUACGGGAGGCAGCAGUGGGGAAUAUUGCACAAUGGGCGCAAGCCUGAUGCAGCCAUGCCGCGUGUAUGAAGAAGGCCUUCGGGUUGUAAAGUACUUUCAGCGGGGAGGAAGGGAGUAAAGUUAAUACCUUUGCUCAUUGACGUUACCCGCAGAAGAAGCACCGGCUAACUCCGUGCCAGCAGCCGCGGUAAUACGGAGGGUGCAAGCGUUAAUCGGAAUUACUGGGCGUAAAGCGCACGCAGGCGGUUUGUUAAGUCAGAUGUGAAAUCCCCGGGCUCAACCUGGGAACUGCAUCUGAUACUGGCAAGCUUGAGUCUCGUAGAGGGGGGUAGAAUUCCAGGUGUAGCGGUGAAAUGCGUAGAGAUCUGGAGGAAUACCUGUGGCGAAGGCGGCCCCCUGGACGAAGACUGACGCUCAGGUGCGAAAGCGUGGGGAGCAAACAGGAUUAGAUACCCUGGUAGUCCACGCCGUAAACGAUGUCGACUUGGAGGUUGUGCCCUUGAGGCGUGGCUUCCGGAGCUAACGCGUUAAGUCGACCGCCUGGGGAGUACGGCCGCAAGGUUAAAACUCAAAUGAAUUGACGGGGGCCCGCACAAGCGGUGGAGCAUGUGGUUUAAUUCGAUGCAACGCGAAGAACCUUACCUGGUCUUGACAUCCACGGAAGUUUUCAGAGAUGAGAAUGUGCCUUCGGGAACCGUGAGACAGGUGCUGCAUGGCUGUCGUCAGCUCGUGUUGUGAAAUGUUGGGUUAAGUCCCGCAACGAGCGCAACCCUUAUCCUUUGUUGCCAGCGGUCCGGCCGGGAACUCAAAGGAGACUGCCAGUGAUAAACUGGAGGAAGGUGGGGAUGACGUCAAGUCAUCAUGGCCCUUACGACCAGGGCUACACACGUGCUACAAUGGCGCAUACAAAGAGAAGCGACCUCGCGAGAGCAAGCGGACCUCAUAAAGUGCGUCGUAGUCCGGAUUGGAGUCUGCAACUCGACUCCAUGAAGUCGGAAUCGCUAGUAAUCGUGGAUCAGAAUGCCACGGUGAAUACGUUCCCGGGCCUUGUACACACCGCCCGUCACACCAUGGGAGUGGGUUGCAAAAGAAGUAGGUAGCUUAACCUUCGGGAGGGCGCUUACCACUUUGUGAUUCAUGACUGGGGUGAAGUCGUAACAAGGUAACCGUAGGGGAACCUGCGGUUGGAUCACCUCCUUACCUUAAAGAAGC
This 1554-nucleotide ribosomal RNA is filed under the name Escherichia coli. RNAcentral describes it as "bacterial SSU rRNA". It matches the Rfam family "Bacterial small subunit ribosomal RNA". Lineage: Bacteria; Pseudomonadati; Pseudomonadota; Gammaproteobacteria; Enterobacterales; Enterobacteriaceae. The record is from RNAcentral.